UCUGUGUGUGUGUGUGUGUGUGUGAGUGAGGGGGGGUGGUACCUCAGAGACUGGUUAGCGGGCGGCAUCGCUGUCUCCCCGGCGGGGGGUGAGUGAUGGUGGGGCCCGGCUGGAGGCUGCGCGGCGAGGAUGGUGUCACCGCCGCCCUGACAGCAGCUAGCUCCCACGCUAGCCUGACGGCCCAGAGCCUCGCCACCGUGACACAGAGCCAACUCGCCGACACGGAGCACGCCCCCCGCGGCUCGCGGGUGGCGGCCGUGCUGGCGCCCUGUCUGGUUGUCUUGGCGACCGUGC
Long non-coding RNA from Gadus chalcogrammus (walleye pollock), 294 nucleotides. RefSeq lists it as uncharacterized. NCBI's taxonomy places the organism in Eukaryota, Metazoa, Chordata, Actinopteri, Gadiformes, Gadidae. The record is from RefSeq and is a predicted model, not a curated record. The transcript is spliced from 3 exons.